RNAcentral lists this long non-coding RNA (749 nucleotides) under Rattus norvegicus (Norway rat). RNAcentral's name for it is "long non-coding RNA NONRATT028747". Lineage: Eukaryota; Metazoa; Chordata; Mammalia; Rodentia; Muridae. The record is from RNAcentral.
AUAUGUUAUUGGCACUUUAGAGCUGUUGGUAGCAGAGAACUACAUGAUCAUUUACUUAAAUGGUGCGACAACGCGAAGGAAAAUGCCCAGUCUGGGAUGGCUCAGGAGAUGCUACCAGCAAAUCGACAGACGAUUAAGGAAAAACCUAAAGUCUCUAAUCAUUGUGCACCCCUCUUGGUUUAUCCGAACACUUCUGGCUGUUACAAGACCAUUUAUCAGUUCAAAAUUCAGUCAGAAGAUUAGAUACGUCUUUAAUUUGGCUGAACUGGCGGAGCUUGUUCCCAUGGAGUACGUCGGCAUACCAGAGUGCAUCAAACAGUUACAAUGUUUACUCAUGAAAACCCAGCUAGUAAAUAUUGGUGUUCAGGGCUGCCAGCUUGCCCAGUCCUUGGGGUUCUGUUCACAUAGAACACAAUUCGGAGUUGAUCAAACACUGUUGCACUUUGCUUCAUACUUCAAAACAACUUUCAUUAGGAGCUCACAUGCUGUCACUUAGACAAAAUUAACUCACUGUGACCUUUUUGCUGUUCUUACAUAGUACUGACUCUAGUGUUGUCAUUUCAGUGAGAAUUCAGUCUGUCUGUCUUCGGGAAACGGCUCUAGUUCUAGGCAGUGAGAAGCAGCUCUUUAGCAUCCGCAAAGUGUGCUAUUUUCUCUUCCUUUGACUUGUUCGGAAUACAGUGGUGUGUCCUCAUUUGUUACACGUAUUACCAUAAUAUUAAUGCAUCUUAAUAAAUCAGUUGGAAUAU